GCCGGGGUAGCUCAGUGGUAGAGCACACGACUGAAAAUCGUGGUGUCGACAGUCCAAUUCUGUCCCCCGGCACCA
This 75-nucleotide transfer RNA is filed under the name Candidatus Peregrinibacteria bacterium. RNAcentral's name for it is "tRNA-Phe". It matches the Rfam family "tRNA". Rfam says of the family: Transfer RNA (tRNA) molecules are approximately 80 nucleotides in length. Their secondary structure includes four short double-helical elements and three loops (D, anti-codon, and T loops). Lineage: Bacteria; Candidatus Peregrinibacteriota. RNAcentral also lists the same sequence under 1 other name. The record is from RNAcentral.